This is a long non-coding RNA of Notolabrus celidotus (New Zealand spotty), 913 nucleotides long. RefSeq lists it as uncharacterized. NCBI's taxonomy places the organism in Eukaryota, Metazoa, Chordata, Actinopteri, Labriformes, Labridae. The transcript is spliced from 3 exons. The record is from RefSeq and is a predicted model, not a curated record.
AGCAAGUGUCCGUUAAUGCCAAGGUCCUGCUGAUCCACACUCCCUGCAGGUCGUGGGAGGAAGACUGCCUGCAGCAGAUAGAAUGCUGGGAGAUGACUGACCUAUGCUAGGUAUGCAGGGCUCUGGGUUGCAGUCCUCCUUCUCUGCCGGUCUCAGCCUCUCGUCACAGCCCUCAGUGGACAGCAUGUCAUCAGACAGGCAGCGUACCUCCCGCACACGGAAACCUCUCUCACAUGUUUUGGAACACUGGAAGGGCAGGAGUCAGUGACAGCAGUCAGACCAGGUCAAUGUAACUUUGGGUGUGGCUUAUUUGACAGUUUCUCAUGAGGUAGAAGAAGAAGAAAAAAAACUUGAGAGAUGUUGUCAUUGCAGUUUUGAGGGCCAAACCUCAGUAAGGCUAGUAGGGAGGAAACACCUUGAUUAAGGACAUCUGAACAGCACAAGAGGAGAAGUUUACAGAUUUUACUCACAGCACUCCAGUCAGUGUGAUACCACUUUGCCCCACAGGCUUUCAGAUUGCAGCUUUGCUGGCUGAGGGGGCGAUCCAAAGAGGAGCACUCAUAUGGUGGCAUGAUGUUGAAUCCUUCAUCAGACUUCACCAAGCAUACCACCGACCUCUGCUGGCUGCCUGCACCACACUCUGCAGAGCACUGAGUCACAGACAGAUAUAUAACAUAUGGAUUCAAUAAUACAAAAGCUGAGACAGGGGCCUGUGAACCACUCAAUGCGGUUCUCACAGGGGCCGUUGUUGCAGACCUGAGAGUCGGCGGGACGCUCAUUGCCACAACCCUCCAGAGGAAGGCUGCUGAUGUGGUUGGUCAGGCAGAGGAUUCCCCGGGUCCGUACACCCAUCCCACAUUCAGCUGAGCACUGUGGAGUAAAGCGAUCAUAUAGAGGCAUCAGUAUUCAUUUC